GUAAGCUACUAAGAGCGAAUGGUGGAUGCCUUGACUGGUAAAGGCGAUGAAGGACGUACUAGACUGCGAUAAGCUACGGGGAGCUGUCAAGAAGCUUUGAUCCGUAGAUUUCCGAAUGGGGCAACCCAAUGUAUAGAGAUAUACAUUACCUAUAUAGGAGCGAACGAGGGGAAUUGAAACAUCUUAGUACCCUCAGGAAAAGAAAUCAAUAGAGAUUGCGUCAGUAGCGGCGAGCGAAAGCGCAAGAGGGCAAACCCAGUGCUUGCACUGGGGGUUGUAGGACUGCAAUGUGCAAGAGCUGAGUUUAGCAGAACAUUCUGGAAAGUAUAGCCAUAGAGGGUGAUAGUCCCGUAUGCGAAAAACAAGCUUAGCUAGCAGUAUCCUGAGUAGGGCGGGACACGAGGAAUCCUGUCUGAAUCCGGGUCGACACGAUCCAACCCUAAAUACUAAUACCAGAUCGAUAGUGCACAAGUACCGUGAGGGAAAGGUGAAAAGAACUGAGGUGAUCAGAGUGAAAUAGAACCUAAACCAUUUGCUUACAAUCAUUCAGAGCACUAUGUAGCAAUACAGUGUGAUGGACUGCCUUUUGCAUAAUGAGCCUGCGAGUUGUGGUGUCUGGCAAGGUUAAGCAAACGCGAAGCCGUAGCGAAAGCGAGUCUGAAUAGGGCGCUUAGUCAGAUGCUGCAGACCCGAAACGAAGUGAUCUAUCCAUGAGCAAGUUGAAGCUAGUGUAAGAACUAGUGGAGGACUGAACCCAUAGGCGUUGAAAAGCCCCGGGAUGACUUGUGGAUAGGGGUGAAAGGCCAAUCAAACUUCGUGAUAGCUGGUUCUCUCCGAAAUAUAUUUAGGUAUAGCGUUGUGUCGUAAUAUAAGGGGGUAGAGCACUGAAUGGGCUAGGGCAUACACCAAUGUACCAAACCCUAUCAAACUCCGAAUACCUUAUAUGUAAUCACAGCAGUCAGGCGGCGAGUGAUAAAAUCCGUCGUCAAGAGGGAAACAACCCAGACUACCAGCUAAGGUCCCUAAAUCUUACUUAAGUGGAAAACGAUGUGAAGUUACUUAAACAACCAGGAGGUUGGCUUAGAAGCAGCCAUCCUUUAAAGAAAGCGUAAUAGCUCACUGGUCUAGUGAUUUUGCGCGGAAAAUAUAACGGGGCUAAAGUAAGUACCGAAGCUGUAGACUUAGUUUACUAAGUGGUAGGAGAGCGUUCUAUUUGCGUCGAAGGUAUACCGGUAAGGAGUGCUGGAGCGAAUAGAAGUGAGCAUGCAGGCAUGAGUAGCGAUAAUUAAUGUGAGAAUCAUUAACGCCGUAAACCCAAGGUUUCCUACGCGAUGCUCGUCAUCGUAGGGUUAGUCGGGUCCUAAGUCGAGUCCGAAAGGGGUAGACGAUGGCAAAUUGGUUAAUAUUCCAAUACCAACAUUAGUGUGCGAUGGAAGGACGCUUAGGGCUAAGGGGGCUAGCGGAUGGAAGUGCUAGUCUAAGGUCGUAGGAGGUUAUACAGGCAAAUCCGUAUAACAAUACUCCGAGAACUGAAAGGCUUUUUGAAGUCUUCGGAUGGAUAGAAGAACCCCUGAUGCCGUCGAGCCAAGAAAAGUUUCUAAGUUUAGCUAAUGUUGCCCGUACCGUAAACCGACACAGGUGGGUGGGAUGAGUAUUCUAAGGCGCGUGGAAGAACUCUCUUUAAGGAACUCUGCAAAAUAGCACCGUAUCUUCGGUAUAAGGUGUGGUUAGCUUUGUAUUAGGAUUUACUCUGAAAGCAAGGAAACUUACAACAAAGAGUCCCUCCCGACUGUUUACCAAAAACACAGCACUCUGCUAACUCGUAAGAGGAUGUAUAGGGUGUGACGCCUGCCCGGUGCUCGAAGGUUAAUUGAUGGGGUUAGCAUUAGCGAAGCUCUUGAUCGAAGCCCGAGUAAACGGCGGCCGUAACUAUAACGGUCCUAAGGUAGCGAAAUUCCUUGUCGGUUAAAUACCGACCUGCAUGAAUGGCGUAACGAGAUGGGAGCUGUCUCAAAGAGGGAUCCAGUGAAAUUGUAGUGGAGGUGAAAAUUCCUCCUACCCGCGGCAAGACGGAAAGACCCCGUGGACCUUUACUACAGCUUGACACUGCUACUUGGAUAAGAAUGUGCAGGAUAGGUGGGAGGCUUUGAGUAUAUGACGCCAGUUGUAUAUGAGCCAUUGUUGAGAUACCACUCUUUCUUAUUUGGGUAGCUAACCAGCUUGAGUUAUCCUCAAGUGGGACAAUGUCUGGUGGGUAGUUUGACUGGGGCGGUCGCCUCCCAAAUAAUAACGGAGGCUUACAAAGGUUGGCUCAGAACGGUUGGAAAUCGUUCGUAGAGUAUAAAGGUAUAAGCCAGCUUAACUGCAAGACAUACAAGUCAAGCAGAGACGAAAGUCGGUCUUAGUGAUCCGGUGGUUCUGUGUGGAAGGGCCAUCGCUCAAAGGAUAAAAGGUACCCCGGGGAUAACAGGCUGAUCUCCCCCAAGAGCUCACAUCGACGGGGAGGUUUGGCACCUCGAUGUCGGCUCAUCGCAUCCUGGGGCUGGAGCAGGUCCCAAGGGUAUGGCUGUUCGCCAUUUAAAGCGGUACGCGAGCUGGGUUCAGAACGUCGUGAGACAGUUCGGUCCCUAUCUGCCGUGGGCGUAAGAAGAUUGAAGAGAUUUGACCCUAGUACGAGAGGACCGGGUUGAACAAACCACUGGUGUAGCUGUUGUUCUGCCAAGAGCAUCGCAGCGUAGCUAAGUUUGGAAAGGAUAAACGCUGAAAGCAUCUAAGCGUGAAGCCAACUCUAAGAUGAAUCUUCUCUAAGCUCUCUAGAAGACUACUAGUUUGAUAGGCUGGGUGUGUAAUGGAUGAAAGUCCUUUAGCUGACCAGUACUAAUAGAGCGUUUGGCUUAUCUUU
This 2902-nucleotide ribosomal RNA is filed under the name Campylobacter jejuni subsp. jejuni. RNAcentral's name for it is "bacterial LSU rRNA". It matches the Rfam family "Bacterial large subunit ribosomal RNA". Lineage: Bacteria; Pseudomonadati; Campylobacterota; Epsilonproteobacteria; Campylobacterales; Campylobacteraceae. The record is from RNAcentral.